UACAGAGGGGGGCAAGCGUUGUUCGGAAUUACUGGGGCGUAAAGGGCGCGUAGGCGGCCUGUUAAGUCGGACGUGAAAUCCCCGGGCUCAACCCCGGGAACUGCGUCCGAUACUGGCAGGCUUGAAUCCGGGAGAGGGAUGUGGAAUUCCAGGUGUAGCGGUGGAAUGCGCAGAUAUCAGGAGGAACACCAAUGGCGAAGGCAGCUCGCUGGGACGGUACUGACGCUGAGACGCGAAAGCGUGGGGAGCGAACAGG
RNAcentral lists this ribosomal RNA (256 nucleotides) under uncultured bacterium. RNAcentral describes it as "partial 16S ribosomal RNA". It matches the Rfam family "Bacterial small subunit ribosomal RNA", at positions 524 to 776 of the family's 1533-position model. The record is from RNAcentral.